AACGAACGCUGGCGGCGUGCUUAACACAUGCAAGUCGAACGGGAUCCGGGGCUUCGGCUCUGGUGAGAGUGGCGAACGGGUGAGUAACGCGUAGGGACCUGCCCGGGUGGUUCGGAAUAACUGCUGGAAACGGCAGCUAAUACCGGAUGAGCCCGCGAGGGGAAAGCGCUAUGGAGCGCCAUCGGAGGGGCCUGCGUCCGAUUAGCUAGUUGGUGGGGUAACGGCCUACCAAGGCGGUGAUCGGAGCUGGUCUGAGAGGAUGAUCAGCCACACUGGGACUGCGACACGGCCCAGACUCCUACGGGAGGCAGCAGUGGGGAAUAUUGGACAAUGGGGGCAACCCUGAUCCAGCAACGCCGCGUGGGUGACGAAGG
Molecule: ribosomal RNA, 374 nt
Filed under: uncultured bacterium
Lineage: Bacteria
Description: bacterial SSU rRNA
Rfam family: Bacterial small subunit ribosomal RNA
Source: RNAcentral